AGGGAAUAUUGGUUAAUGGGCGAAAGCCUGACCCAGCAACGCCGCGUGCGCGAUGAAGGCCUUCGGGUUGUAAAGCGCUUUUAAGUGGGAUGAGGAAGGACAGUACCACUAGAAUAAGUCUCGGCUAACUACGUGCCAGCAGCCGCGGUAACACGUAGGAGACGAGCGUUAUCCGGAUUUACUGGGUGUAAAGCGCGUGCAGGUGGUAUGGAAAGUUGGAUGUGAAAGCUCCCGGCUUAACUGGGAGAGGUCGUUCAAAACUACCAAACUAGAGUACAGCAGAGGGGAGUGGAAUUCCGAGUGUAGCGGUAAAAUGCAUAGAUAUUCGGAAGAACACCAGUGGCGAAGGCGGCUCCCUGGGCUGAAACUGACGCUCAGACGCGAAAGCUAGGGUAGCGAACG
RNAcentral lists this ribosomal RNA (402 nucleotides) under uncultured bacterium. RNAcentral describes it as "bacterial SSU rRNA". It matches the Rfam family "Bacterial small subunit ribosomal RNA", at positions 356 to 774 of the family's 1533-position model. The record is from RNAcentral.